AGCGUAGGUGGCCUAACAUGUCAACUGUGAAAACCCGGAGCUCAACUCCGGACUUGCAGUUGAAACUGGUAGGCUUGAGGACGGUAGAGGAAGACGGAACUGCCAGUGUAGAGGUAAAAUCCUUAGAUAUUGGCAGGAACGCCGGUGACGAAGGUGGUUUUCUGGGCCGGUUCUGACACUGAUGCUCGAAAGCCAGGGGAGCGAACG
RNAcentral lists this ribosomal RNA (207 nucleotides) under uncultured Mesotoga sp. Its description in RNAcentral is "partial 16S ribosomal RNA". It matches the Rfam family "Bacterial small subunit ribosomal RNA", at positions 568 to 774 of the family's 1533-position model. The record is from RNAcentral. Lineage: Bacteria; Thermotogati; Thermotogota; Thermotogae; Kosmotogales; Kosmotogaceae.